CAUUAUAAAGCAGAACCUGUAAAAGGUGGGAGACUGGAAUACCUAAGAAGAGACAAAAGACAAUGAAUGUAUGAGAGUCCUGCCAAAGGUGCUAUAGUGGGGGCAAGCCUACUAA
Gavialis gangeticus (Gharial) is the source of this 115-nucleotide long non-coding RNA. RefSeq lists it as uncharacterized. The record is from RefSeq and is a predicted model, not a curated record. The transcript is spliced from 3 exons. Lineage: Eukaryota; Metazoa; Chordata; Crocodylia; Gavialidae.